This 403-nucleotide ribosomal RNA is filed under the name Verrucomicrobiota bacterium. RNAcentral describes it as "Verrucomicrobia bacterium partial 16S ribosomal RNA". It matches the Rfam family "Bacterial small subunit ribosomal RNA", at positions 355 to 776 of the family's 1533-position model. Lineage: Bacteria; Pseudomonadati; Verrucomicrobiota. The record is from RNAcentral.
UGGGGAAUAUUGCACAAUGGGGGAAACCCUGAUGCAGCGACGCCGCGUGAGCGAUGAAGGCUUUCGAGUCGUAAAGCUCUGUCCUAUGGGAAGAUAAUGACAGUACCAUACGAAUAAGGACCGGCUAAUUACGUGCCAGCAGCCGCGGUAAUACGUAAGGUCCGAGCGUUGUCCGGAAUCAUUGGGCGUAAAGGGUACGUAGGCGGAUAAGCAAGUUAGAAGUGAAAUCCUAUAGCUCAACUAUAGUAAGCUUUUAAAACUGCUCAUCUUGAGGUAUGGAAGGGAAAGUGGAAUUCCUAGUGUAGCGGUGAAAUGCGCAGAUAUUAGGAGGAAUACCGGUGGCGAAGGCGACUUUCUGGCCAUAUACUGACGCUGAGGUACGAAAGCGUGGGUAGCAAACAGG